GACGAACGCUGGCGGCGUGCUUAACACAUGCAAGUCGAACGGAAAGGCCCCCUUGUGGGGUACUCGAGUGGCGAACGGGUGAGUAACACGUGAGUAACCUACCCUUGACUUUGGGAUAACUUCAGGAAACUGGGCCUAAUCCCGGAUGGGACCUCCUCCUGCUGGGUGGGGGUGGAAAGGUUCGGCGGUUGGGGAUGGGAUUGCGGCUUAUCAGCUUGUUGGUGGGGUAGUGGCUCACCAAGGCUUUGACGGGUAGCCGGCCUGAGAGGGUGACCGGCCACAUUGGGACUGAGAUACGGCCCAGACUCCUACGGGAGGCAGCAGUGGGGAAUAUUGCACAAUGGGCGGAAGCCUGAUGCAGCAACGCCGCGUGCGGGAUGACGGCCUUCGGGUUGUAAACCGCUUUCGCCUGUGACGAAGCGUGAGUGACGGUAAUGGGUAAAGAAGCACCGGCUAACUACGUG
Molecule: ribosomal RNA, 464 nt
Filed under: uncultured bacterium
Lineage: Bacteria
Description: partial 16S ribosomal RNA
Rfam family: Bacterial small subunit ribosomal RNA
Source: RNAcentral